AAUGUAGCACAAAGAAAGUAUUAAUUGAAAUGAAUGUUCUACAUUAUUUCACUAUGGUAAACUUUUUUAUGAAAGACUGCUUACUUAUAAGUGCUAUGUUUUUACUUAUUAGGUUUUAAGGAGAAUGCAACAGGUUCCAGGGCCUCUUACCUGCGUGAUUCAUCAUCCAGGUUUUGCACAAAUUGUCUAAAUCCCUACACACAGAACAUUUAUUGUACCGACUAUAAGCCUUUGAGGUGCAGGACUAGAAUACGCUUGGAGCUUCCUGAUCAGAUCGGUCACAAUUUUGGCUUUCGACGACCCCUGCACUGAAGAUGGCAUGCAAUCACGUCCUCCUUUGAAGGUCUCUCAAACUGUGAUGCCAGGUCCAUUGGAAUCGGGGUUUCCUUCAGCUUAUCUUCAAAUACCUCAUCAAACACAAGCCUGAUCACAUCAUCCACAUAACUUUACAAAUAUUGCAGUCAAUAAAUCUUUUGUUUUGAUCAUUUAUUUCCCGGCUUCAUACAUUAAGUUUUUAAUUAUGAAUGUAUUUGAAAUAAAACAUUACUGCUUAA
This is a long non-coding RNA of Paramisgurnus dabryanus, 554 nucleotides long. RefSeq lists it as uncharacterized. The record is from RefSeq and is a predicted model, not a curated record. NCBI's taxonomy places the organism in Eukaryota, Metazoa, Chordata, Actinopteri, Cypriniformes, Cobitidae.